GGGGCUGUCAAAUAAAGGUCAGUUCGCAACCUUUCAAGGUUGUUAUCUGGGUUCGAUUCCCAGCAGCUCCA
RNAcentral lists this transfer RNA (71 nucleotides) under Bacteriophage sp. RNAcentral's name for it is "tRNA-Glu". It matches the Rfam family "tRNA". Rfam says of the family: Transfer RNA (tRNA) molecules are approximately 80 nucleotides in length. The record is from RNAcentral.